Molecule: RNA transcript, 507 nt
Organism: Solanum lycopersicum (tomato)
Lineage: Eukaryota; Viridiplantae; Streptophyta; Magnoliopsida; Solanales; Solanaceae
Gene: LeHT-A
Gene name: HT-A
Source: RefSeq, marked validated
UAUCAACAAAAUCUUACAAAAUGGCAUUCAAGGCAAAUAUUUUGCUUAUAUUUUCUUUGGUUCUUAUGAUUAUAUCAUCAGAGGUUAUUGCAAGGGAAAUGGUUGAGGCAAAUCAAGUUCAAAAUACAUUUGAAUUGGACAAUCCGACGCUCCAGAAAAAAGGUGGUGAUGGAAAAGGCGGGGAUCAUUAUUUCCUAAUAUAGCGCGUUUGGGUUGCAGUUGCCCAAAAAAAGAUAAUAAUAAUAACAAUAAUAAUAAUAAUAAUAAUAACAAUAACGAUGACGAUGAUGACAAUGACAGUUUCAUUGGUAAUGUUUGUAAAGCCAUGUGUUGUUAGAGAAACAAAAGAUAUAUCAUUUUCUUCCCAUCCGCUACUCAAUAUUAUAUGGUUAUGUAAUAAUAAUAAUAAUAAUAAUAUGAGAUUGGUUGAAUAAAGGAAAAGUUUGUAUUAUAUAUCGUUAUGUUAAUUUCACUUUUGUAAUAAUAAUAUGAGUGAUCUGAGUCAAA